RNAcentral lists this ribosomal RNA (490 nucleotides) under uncultured bacterium. Its description in RNAcentral is "partial 16S ribosomal RNA". It matches the Rfam family "Bacterial small subunit ribosomal RNA", at positions 30 to 507 of the family's 1533-position model. The record is from RNAcentral.
AUUGAACGCUGGCGGCAGGCCUAACACAUGCAAGUCGAACGGUAACAGGAAGACGCUUGCUUCUUUGCUGACGAGUGGCGGACGGGUGAGUCAUGUCUGGGAAACUGCCUGAUGGAGGGGGAUAACUACUGGAAACGGUAGCUACUACCGCAUAACGUCGCAAGACCAAAGAGGGGGACCUUCGGGCCUCUUGCCAUCGGAUGUGCCCAGAUGGGAUUAGCUAGUAGGUGGGGUAACGGCUCACCUAGGCGACGAUCCCUAGCUGGUCUGAGAGGAUGACCAGCCACACUGGAACUGAGACACGGUCCAGACUCCUACGGGAGGCAGCAGUGGGGAAUAUUGCACAAUGGGCGCAAGCCUGAUGCAGCCAUGCCGCGUGUAUGAAGAAGGCCUUCGGGUUGUAAAGUACUUUCAGCGGGGAGGAAGGGAGUAAAGUUAAUACCUUUGCUCAUUGACGUUACCCGCAGAAGAAGCACCGGCUAACUCCGUG